RNAcentral lists this ribosomal RNA (449 nucleotides) under uncultured bacterium. RNAcentral's name for it is "partial 16S ribosomal RNA". It matches the Rfam family "Bacterial small subunit ribosomal RNA", at positions 29 to 523 of the family's 1533-position model. The record is from RNAcentral.
AACGAACGCUGGCGGCGUGCCUAACACAUGCAAGUCGAACGGGAUCUUCGGGUCUAGUGGCGCACGGGUGCGUAACGCGUGGGAAUCUGCCCUUUGGUUCGGAAUAACAGUUGGAAACGACUGCUAAUACCGGAUGAUGACGAAAGUCCAAAGAUUUAUCGCCAGAGGAUGAGCCCGCGUAGGAUUAGCUAGUUGGUGUGGUAAAGGCGCACCAAGGCGACGAUCCUUAGCUGGUCUGAGAGGAUGAUCAGCCAAACUGGGACUGAGACACGGCCCAGACUCCUACGGGAGGCAGCAGUGGGGAAUAUUGGACAAUGGGCGAAAGCCUGAUCCAGCAAUGCCGCGUGAGUGAUGAAGGCCUUAGGGUUGUAAAGCUCUUUUACCCGGGAUGAUAAUGACAGUACCGGGAGAAUAAGCUCCGGCUAACUCCGUGCCAGCAGCCGCCGUAA